This 336-nucleotide long non-coding RNA is filed under the name Jatropha curcas. RNAcentral's name for it is "long non-coding RNA (JCUR_LNC000028)". The record is from RNAcentral. Lineage: Eukaryota; Viridiplantae; Streptophyta; Magnoliopsida; Malpighiales; Euphorbiaceae.
AGAAAAAAUUUUCUCCAAAUCGAAGAAAAACUAAACUUGAUUUAGAAACAGAGUCAUAAAAAGCAAGGAGGACAUAUACAAGAAGGGAUUGCCCCCUUUUCAAAUAAGAUAAAGGAGAUGAGAAGUAGAUCGAAAAAAAAAAUAAAAAAAUAAAAAAAUAAAAAAAAAUAAAACAAACACGGAUGGAUAAAAAACAAUAAACUGCUACUGGAAUUUCACCUAUCUUCUUUGUCUUCUCUAUUUUAUUAAUCAACUGUGACUUAUACACAAAUGCCCUUAUAUGAGUCCUCCAUUUCGAUUUGACGUUGCAUGAAUCCUUGACCAUGUGGAUUUAGC